Molecule: ribosomal RNA, 253 nt
Filed under: uncultured bacterium
Lineage: Bacteria
Description: partial 16S ribosomal RNA
Rfam family: Bacterial small subunit ribosomal RNA
Source: RNAcentral
UACGAGGGGGGCAAGCGUUGUUCGGAAUUACUGGGCGUAAAGCGUGCGCAGGCGGUUCGCUAAGACAGAUGUGAAAUCCCCGGGCUUAACCUGGGAACUGCAUUUGUGACUGGCGGGCUAGAGUAUGGCAGAGGGGGGUAGAAUUCCACGUGUAGCAGUGAAAUGCGUAGAGAUGUGGAGGAAUACCGAUGGCGAAGGCAGCCCCCUGGGCCAAUACUGACGCUCAUGCACGAAAGCGUGGGGAGCAAACAGG